This is a long non-coding RNA of Pyrus x bretschneideri (Chinese white pear), 968 nucleotides long. RefSeq lists it as uncharacterized. The record is from RefSeq and is a predicted model, not a curated record. NCBI's taxonomy places the organism in Eukaryota, Viridiplantae, Streptophyta, Magnoliopsida, Rosales, Rosaceae. The transcript is spliced from 2 exons.
AUAAUUGAAGAAUGAAUCACUCUCGUGAUGUAAUUUAAUAUAGAGGACUUUUUUGAAAUCUAAAAAUUGAAUUGACCUUCCGUUUCAUUUUAUUUCCUCUCCUAUAAAAUGAAGUGAAAAAUGAACUACUUUGCAAACUGAACCAAACCAGCAAGUCUACAAGUUCCUCACCCACAACACUGUCAAGAACAAUAUGGAGAGGAAACCAUCUCUCAAGUUUGCUUCUUUGGUCCUCCUUUUGGCUACAAUUGCUUGCAUGGCAAUGUGGAACAUGCCGGGAGCUGAAGCAAGGGGAAAACUCCGGUGUCCUGGGAUGAUAGACUGCAGCAGUGUGUGCGAAGGAUUUCCCUGGCGCUGCGUUAAUGGUGAAUGCAUAUGCGAUGGUGGCAACCUUCCUCCCCAACUCCAAGUUGAAGCCAAUUUUCAACCAGACCAGUUGCCAUGAAAUGUGUACAAGGGGAUAAGUUUAUAGUACUAUAUAUGUAACUGUCUGAGUUGAGUAAUAAAAGUAACUAAUACCUUUAUUUCAUUGGCAUUAUUGCUUUGCUUCUAAACUUAGUGAUCAUAAGCAGAUUAAAGGUCACUUAAUCUGAUUACCAAGUAGCAACCACUCGAAAUUAAUGUUACGCCAAAGGCAACUAAUCCUUUUCAAUCAUCUGUUCAAAUGUCAUCUAGGGGACUUAAAUCAUCCGUUGAAUCAUUACACUUCGCCAACCUAUAUGUACACUAAACGAAUUUUCAAACAAUACAAUACUUCCUAUUCUGCAGAACCUAACAAGACACCCAGCACAAUGUAGAGCGCUUCAGAAAAAAAUUUCAAGGAACAAUGCGUCACAGAUAUGAGAGGUUCGUCGUGAUGUUAAAGGCGUGUGAAAGCUCAUUCUUCACAAAUCUUCAAUGGGGAAAGGUUCCUGGUUAAGCAAAUAUAUGACUGAUACAACAACAAUUACUAUGAGAACGUACUUCAG